AUGGAGGAGAGGUGUUCAGAGAAAGAGUUAUACAUCUGCCAGGUUCUGACGUAUGAGGAUUCGGUGCGACAGGAAGCAGCUCUGAAUACGGUUCCUGUAGAUGAACUUAAGGAGAAGGCGCUUAGUUCAUUGGCCAAGGAAACAUGUGAAAAAGGUGGGAUCUUUCCGUCGACUUUCGCAGCUGGCUAUAUGCAUCAUAGAGCAUCUAAUCUGCAUCAAGUUUAG
Molecule: ribosomal RNA, 225 nt
Filed under: Triticum aestivum (bread wheat)
Lineage: Eukaryota; Viridiplantae; Streptophyta; Magnoliopsida; Poales; Poaceae
Description: partial small subunit ribosomal RNA
Source: RNAcentral